CCUGUUGUACGACCAGCAGUUGCCUACCUGGACAUGCGUGAUUGGUAACCAUCGGGUGUGAAUCUCUAGGGACAAUGCACCUCUCCGAAGGAUGGUCUCGAAAGUGAGAAAUUCCGAAGACCGAGUCCGCAACUGUAGGGCGAAGGC
RNAcentral lists this non-coding RNA (147 nucleotides) under Burkholderia sp. D7. The record is from RNAcentral. Lineage: Bacteria; Pseudomonadati; Pseudomonadota; Betaproteobacteria; Burkholderiales; Burkholderiaceae.